This 1137-nucleotide ribosomal RNA is filed under the name Triticum aestivum (bread wheat). Its description in RNAcentral is "partial small subunit ribosomal RNA". The record is from RNAcentral. Lineage: Eukaryota; Viridiplantae; Streptophyta; Magnoliopsida; Poales; Poaceae.
AUGGCGUUCCAGCGUCUCUUGCCCCUUGUAGCCCUGCUUUGCUUGUUCGUCGCUCCACCAUCGUCAGCUGUGCCCAGCCUCCACCCUGUGGUGCUGGUGCCGGGCAACACCUGCAGCCAGCUGGAGGCGCGGCUCACCGAUGAGUACGAACCUCCGCCAGCGACGGGCUGCGGGGUCCCAAGGCAAGGGCGCGGCUGGUUCCGGCUGUGGGAGAACUUCACGGAGCUGCAAGAGGACCCCACCCUCUUGAUCAGGAAUGUGUGCAUGGAAGGGCUGGUGGAGGCACUGGAACGCGUGGGAUACAGAGAGGGAGAGAACCUAUUCGGCGCCCCGUACGACUUCCGGCACGCGCCGGCCGCUCCCGGGCUGGCGUCCCGGGCCUUCUCCGGCUUCAGCUCCAGGCUCAGGCUCCUGGUGGAGCGCGCAAGCCAAAGGAACGGGAACAAGCCGGUCGUCCUCGUGACGCACAGUCUGGGCGGCCUCUUCGCCACGGUGUUCCUCGAUCGGACACCCCUGCGGUGGCGCAGGAGGUACGUCAAGCACCUCGUCAUGCUCUGCCUCGGUGCCGGCGACUCGCCGCUCAACAUGUGGCCCCUCGCCUCCAAGGCGCUGGCCUCCAGCCCCACGUCGCUGCAGGCCGCCGUGCUCACCUGCGGGAACCGGAGCUUCGCGAGCAUGUUCUCGCUCAUGCCGUCCCCCAGGGUGUACGGCCGCACGCCCCUGGUGAUCACGCGGGACCGGAACUACUCCGCCCACGACAUGCCGGAGUUCCUCGCGGCGGCAGGCUUCUCCGAGGACGAGGUGGCGCGGUACAGAACGAGGGCGCUUCCGGUGACCCUCAGCCUUCGGGCGCCGCUCGUGCCGAUGACGGCCAUGAAUGGCGUUGGCGUGCCGACCGUGGAUAAGCUGGUGUUCUGGGACGGUAACUUCAGUGGGAGGCCUCAGUUGGUGAAUGGCGAUGGCGAUGGCCAGAUCAACUUGGAGACCGUCUUGGCGUUGCAAAGGUUGGUGGGGGCUGAUCCGGACCAGCCUUACUUCAAGACAAUUUUGAUCCCCAACACGACGCACAAGGGUAUGAUCUCGGAUGAAUCUGCGCUCAAGCGUGUCGUCAGUGAAAUCCUUGGAGCCUCCUCUUGA